AUGAUGAGAAGCCGCUUUAUUUCAUAACUGUGUCAUUUUAAACUGUUUGUAUCUCUCACGAUGGACCAAUUGUAGAACAUUCAGUGUAAAUUUGGUUUAUGAACGUUUAAUGUGUAAAAUGUGUUAAUUUUCCAUGAUUCAAUUAUCGGAUCGGUGCUGACGUGAAAAUACUCUUCACUGACUGGAGUUUUUCAACUCAUUUUAUUGCUAUUAUAGUGAAACUCUGAUAACUUAUAAAAGAAUACAUCCAGAAUCAUCAUCUGAGGUACUUCAGUGAAAAUGUCGAGUUUAGACAUUAUUUGUGAGAAUAUUCAUGCCGGGCACGCGCCGCAGUGGUUCGCGCGCUGGGAGCGCCCUACCGUGUGUGUUGUGGAGAUGAUGGACAUACCGGACUAUCUCGACUAAUGUAAACAGAUAUAACGUGGUACUUUACGACUGAUGUUUCUGCAGGCGGUGCGCAAACGGGCGCCGCUGAUGUGCGUGAUGGGCGCAGAGAUGAUACCCGAGCUGCUUUACCGUGAGGAGAACUCGAGAAUAAACUUCACCUGUUCACUACUGAGUGAUAGAAAUACUCACAAACACUCAUUCAUACACUCUAAUGUAUAUAUAUAUAUAUACUGUGUGUGUGUGUGUGUGUAUAUAUAUAUAUAUAUAUAUAUAUAUAUAUAUAUAUAUAUAUAUAUAUAUAUAUAACCGGUCCUUCUCGACCCACUACGAGCGGGAUUUGAACUGAGGUCUCCGGCAUGGGAGGCAGACGCGCUAACAAGGAAGCUAAAGGCUACAGCCGUCAGUUGCUAGUGCACCUCUUGAGGAAUGUUGUUGUUUGCUGUGGACUCUUCACUGUUCUAUCAGGUGAUCGAAGCAGCACAUAGACAGAGCUGGUCAGAAUGGGUGUGACACUGCUUCACAGGCAGAAGGGAAGGAGAACACAGGGAAGCGGGGUUUCCAGGUUCAGGUAAGAGUUUUAAUCGGCCACCUCAGUGCUUUACAAUUUCACAAACUCAUCAGUUUCACAGGCACGUAGUUACUUAAACACAUCAGCUUCACAAACACAAUAGAUUAAGCAAACAGCUUCUGUAGCACCGUGGCCUUCCUUGUGCCAGACUUUCUCUGCUGCUGGUGGCGUGGCUGUUUAUAUGCCGCUCUCCCCAUGCUCACUGGAAUUAGAGACUAUUGUUAAACAUAAUCUAGCUCAGGUUCAAGCGCCCUUACCGCUUUCUCUCUCUCCAUGCCUGACCACGCCCCCGCUGCCACAUAUCCCC
This is a long non-coding RNA of Myxocyprinus asiaticus (Chinese sucker), 1262 nucleotides long. RefSeq lists it as uncharacterized. Lineage: Eukaryota; Metazoa; Chordata; Actinopteri; Cypriniformes; Catostomidae. The record is from RefSeq and is a predicted model, not a curated record. The transcript has 3 exons.